Callithrix jacchus (white-tufted-ear marmoset) is the source of this 299-nucleotide unclassified non-coding RNA. It matches the Rfam family "Metazoan signal recognition particle RNA". Rfam says of the family: The signal recognition particle (SRP) is a universally conserved ribonucleoprotein. It is involved in the co-translational targeting of proteins to membranes. Lineage: Eukaryota; Metazoa; Chordata; Mammalia; Primates; Cebidae. The record is from Ensembl.
GCCGGGUGCAGUGGCACGUACCUGUAGUCCCAGCUACUCAAGAGGCUGAGGUGGGUGGAUUGCUUGAGCCCAGGAGUUCUGGGCUGUAGUGUGCUAUUGCCAAUCAGGUGUCCGCAGUAAGUUCGGCAUCAAUAUGGUGACCUCCUGGGAGCGGGAGACCACCAGGUUGUCCAAGGAGGGGUGAACCAGCCCAGGUCGGAAACGGAGCAGGUCAAAACUCCUGUGCUGAUUAGUAGUGGGAUUGCAUCUGUGAAUAGCCACGCACUCCAGCCUGGGCAACAUAGCGAGACCCGUUUCUU